GUGCUCACUUGCACAGCACAUAUGCUAAAAUUAGAAUACAGAUUAGCAUGGUCCCUGAACAAGGAUGACAUGCAAAUUCAUGAAGCUUUCUUUUGUUUG
Balaenoptera musculus (blue whale) is the source of this 99-nucleotide small nuclear RNA. The record is from Ensembl. Lineage: Eukaryota; Metazoa; Chordata; Mammalia; Artiodactyla; Balaenopteridae.